AUCCACCCAAGACCCGGUUCCUCGAUUCCCAUCGUUACGACCGAGGAGAAAAGAGAGUAAAUUUUCCUAUUAUAGCCUUCUCUCGCACCUUCCCCGCUUCCCACCAGCCGUCUCCACUGUCCUCACCGUCCCCAUCCUCAUCCAUGGCGAAAUCUUCGCCCCCAGCCUCGUGAAGAUCUAGCACGUCCGCCAUCUCGCCUUCGAUCGAGAUCUCGUCUGUGCCGCUCAGACACUAGGUACCUCGGGAAACUGUCGCAGAGGGGAAAGGUCGCCAGUCAAGCUGACCAAUCAAAGGUUAACUCUAAAUCCCUCCCUCUGCACGGUAAAAACACGCAAAUUGGGGCGGGCCUAGUGAGGAAAGAUACCGGAAGUGUUUCUGUGGCCAUCUUGAGCAGGUCGCAAGCUAAAUCCUGCCAUCUUAGGAGAGAUGGAGUUUCACCAUGCUGCCCAGGCUGGUCUCCAACUCCUGAGCUCAAGUGAUCUGCCCGCCUCAGCCCCCCAAAGUGCUAGGAUUACAGGCGUGAGCCACCACACCUGGCCUAGAACCAUAAUUUCAAUAACAAUGAAUUUAGUUAUUUAUUUUUUGAGACAGAAUUUUGCUCUUGUCACCCAAGCUGGAAUGCAAUAGCACAAUCUCGGCUCACUGCAACCUCCGCCUCCUGGUUCAAAUGCUGUUGACUGGGGCAAAGAAUAAUGGGAGAAAAACAGCUGGGUCCUAAAUAACAGAGGGAAACCAACUUUCAAUAAAGUAUUCAACAACUAA
This 763-nucleotide non-coding RNA is filed under the name Pan troglodytes (chimpanzee). Lineage: Eukaryota; Metazoa; Chordata; Mammalia; Primates; Hominidae. The record is from RNAcentral.